This 75-nucleotide antisense RNA is filed under the name Micromonospora carbonacea. RNAcentral describes it as "ASpks TB sRNA". It matches the Rfam family "ASpks TB sRNA". Lineage: Bacteria; Bacillati; Actinomycetota; Actinomycetes; Micromonosporales; Micromonosporaceae. The record is from Rfam by way of RNAcentral.
CUUGAGCGAGCCCAGCCACAGCGGCGCGUCGUCGGGUCGGCCCUGGCCGUAGGUGUCGAGGAUCGCCUGCGCCUC